This 88-nucleotide transfer RNA is filed under the name Pseudomonadota bacterium. Its description in RNAcentral is "Proteobacteria bacterium (gut metagenome) tRNA-Ser". It matches the Rfam family "tRNA". From Rfam's summary of the family: Transfer RNA (tRNA) molecules are approximately 80 nucleotides in length. Lineage: Bacteria; Pseudomonadati; Pseudomonadota. The record is from RNAcentral.
GGAGAGGUGGCCGAGUGGUCGAAGGCGCGCGAUUGGAAAUCGCGUAUAUCUCAAAAGGGUAUCGUGGGUUCGAAUCCCACCCUCUCCG